This 830-nucleotide ribosomal RNA is filed under the name Paracremonium inflatum. RNAcentral's name for it is "eukaryotic LSU rRNA". It matches the Rfam family "Eukaryotic large subunit ribosomal RNA", at positions 74 to 935 of the family's 3401-position model. Lineage: Eukaryota; Fungi; Ascomycota; Sordariomycetes; Hypocreales; Nectriaceae. The record is from RNAcentral.
AUUGCCCUAGUAACGGCGAGUGAAGCGGCAACAGCUCAAAUUUGAAAUCUGGCCCUCUGGCCCGAGUUGUAAUUUGUAGAGGAUGCUUUUGGUGAGGUGCCUUCCGAGUUCCCUGGAACGGGACGCCAUAGAGGGUGAGAGCCCCGUCUGGUUGGACACCGAGCCUCUGUAAAGCUCCUUCGACGAGUCGAGUAGUUUGGGAAUGCUGCUCUAAAUGGGAGGUAUAUGUCUUCUAAAGCUAAAUACCGGCCAGAGACCGAUAGCGCACAAGUAGAGUGAUCGAAAGAUGAAAAGCACUUUGAAAAGAGGGUUAAACAGUACGUGAAAUUGUUGAAAGGGAAGCGCUUGUGACCAGACUUGGGCUUGGUCAAUCAUCCAGUGUUCUUCACUGGUGCACUUGGCCGGCCUAGGCCAGCAUCAGUUCGGUGCGGGGGAUAAAGGCCUCGGGAAUGUGGCUCCCUCGGGAGUGUUAUAGCCCGUGGCGCAAUACCCUGCGCCGGACUGAGGUUCGCGCAUCUGCAUGGAUGCUGGCGUAAUGGUCAUCAGCGACCCGUCUUGAAACACGGACCAAGGAGUCGUCUUCGUAUGCGAGUGUUCGGGUGUCAAACCCCUACGCGUAAUGAAAGUGAACGCAGGUGAGAGCUUCGGCGCAUCAUCGACCGAUCCUGAUGUUCUCGGAUGGAUUUGAGUAAGAGCAUACGGGGCCGGACCCGAAAGAAGGUGAACUAUGCCUGUAUAGGGUGAAGCCAGAGGAAACUCUGGUGGAGGCUCGCAGCGGUUCUGACGUGCAAAUCGAUCGUCAAAUAUGGGCAUGGGGGCGAAAGACUAAU